GGAUCCAGACUUUGAUUCUGGCUCAGGAUGAACGCUAGCUACAGGCUUAACACAUGCAAGUCGAGGGGAAACGACAUCGAAAGCUUGCUUUUGAUGGGCGUCGACCGGCGCACGGGUGAGUAACGCGUAUCCAACCUGCCCACCACUUGGGGAUAACCUUGCGAAAGUAAGACUAAUACCCAAUGAUAUCUCUAGAAGACAUCUGAAAGAGAUUAAAGAUUUAUCGGUGAUGGAUGGGGAUGCGUCUGAUUAGCUUGUUGGCGGGGUAACGGCCCACCAAGGCUACGAUCAGUAGGGGUUCUGAGAGGAAGGUCCCCCACAUUGGAACUGAGACACGGUCCAAACUCCUACGGGAGGCAGCAGUGAGGAAUAUUGGUCAAUGGACGAGAGUCUGAACCAGCCAAGUAGCGUGCAGGAUGACGGCCCUAUGGGUUGUAAACUGCUUUUAUAAGGGAAUAAAGUGAGUCUCGUGAGACUUUUUGCAUGUACCUUAUGAAUAAGGACCGGCUAAUUCCGUGCCAGCAGCCGCGGUAAUACGGAAGGUCCGGGCGUUAUCCGGAUUUAUUGGGUUUAAAGGGAGCGUAGGCCGGAGAUUAAGCGUGUUGUGAAAUGUAGAUGCUCAACAUCUGCACUGCAGCGCGAACUGGUUUCCUUGAGUACGCACAAAGUGGGCGGAAUUCGUGGUGUAGCGGUGAAAUGCUUAGAUAUCACGAAGAACUCCGAUUGCGAAGGCAGCUCACUGGAGCGCAACUGACGCUGAAGCUCGAAAGUGCGGGUAUCGAACAGGAUUAGAUACCCUGGUAGUCCGCACGGUAAACGAUGGAUGCCCGCUGUUGGUCUGAAUAGGUCAGCGGCCAAGCGAAAGCAUUAAGCAUCCCACCUGGGGAGUACGCCGGCAACGGUGCAACUCAAAUGAAUUGACGG
Molecule: ribosomal RNA, 924 nt
Filed under: uncultured Bacteroidota bacterium
Lineage: Bacteria; Pseudomonadati; Bacteroidota
Description: bacterial SSU rRNA
Rfam family: Bacterial small subunit ribosomal RNA
Source: RNAcentral